ACAUGCACACGCAGGCAGGCACAUGCAGCCAUGCAUGCGCACACAUGCACACACACAGACUCAUGCACACAGGCACAUGCAUGUAUGAAUGCACACAGACAUGCACACACAAAUGCACAUGCAUGCACACGCACACACAUCAACACACAUGCACAUAUGCACAGACAUGCACGCACAUGCACGCAGACACACGCACAUGCAUGCACGCACAGACACAUGUACACUGACAUGCACAUACAGAAUGGAGAGACGCACACCCUCGUGCCCGCGUGCGGGAAUAUGCAUGCACACACGCGCACACACGCAGGCCGGGGUCCUUGUCCGGCGCGGGCGGCCCCCGCCACCCCCCGGGGCAGCCUGGGCAGCGCGGCCGGCGGAGGCCCGGAGCCCCCGGGGUGCCGGGAAGAGCCCGGCAGGUCGCGGGCGGCGCAGGGCCGGGGGCGGCGGGGCGGCUGCGGCCGGGCUCCCCCUCUGCUCCGGCCGCCUCCUGCCCGGCCCCGGCCCCGGCCCCGGCCCCGGCGCUGCCCCGCUCCGAGCCCCGCAGCCGGCGGGCAGCAGAGGGGAGGGAGCCCGGCCCCGCGGGGGGAGCGCACGGGCCGGGCCGGGCCGGGCCAAGCGGGGCUGCGACCGCCGCCUCCCGCAGUGCCCGGCCCGGCCCGGCCCGGCCGGCUGCAAACGCCCCGGUCCCCCUGUCCCGCGGCUCCAGGACGUGGGGACAGACAGGCACGGACCCCGUGUUGUUAUAUUGGAGUAGACAUAGGUGCCUCUGUAUACAAGAGUCGCUGAGAUUUUCAUGAGGGGUGGGAGCUGCGGGUGACUCUUCUCGGGCUUGGAUGUGAGAUUGCAGCAGUUCCUGCAUCCCCUGGUGUGACAGAGCUGGCAGAUGGAGGCAAGGAUGGAGACAGAGCGUCCUGUGCUCUGGGGGCUCCUCCAGCCCCUCCUCAGCCACAUGAAGCCCUGGGCUGUCUUCAACCACCGGUUCCCCACCCCCCGUCGAGCCUAGUUUAAAGCUCUUGGGAGGAGAUCAGCCAAGCUGCGGGCCAACAGAUACUUACCUCUGGGGGAGAGAUGAAGAUCAUCAUCUCCCAGGAAGCCUCCUCCCUGGAAGUGCUGGUCAUGGCUGUAGAAUCCGAAGCCCUCCUGAAGACACCGACUCUGGAGCCGCCGGUUGACUUCUUUGAUGCAGGCACCCUGGCAUCUCUGGCUGCUGCCAACCGGAAGGAUGGAAGAAAAUACAACCUGUGCCCCAGUCUUCUUGAGGCUGUCUCCCAGUUCAUGGAAGUCCUUCAUGAUGCAGUCAGGGCUGGUCCUAGCCGCAUCGUUGGUUCCCACUUAUCCCAGAUCACCUGUUCCCUCUUAUCUGGGGUGACCUGUUUCUGCGCCUGGGCCACCCGUCAGAGUUCCUCCAAACUGGGGUUUGAACUCCUGCCCAGCUAGGCAAUCAGCAGGGAGUUCAAGUGCUUCCCUAAGGGGUGACCCUUCCUCCACUGGGAUGUUCUCUAAUUCCUCCCUGAGAGCCUCGGCUUCCUCUGCCACUGACUGACUGGGCUCCUCCCUGGGGCUGUCACUUAGCUUGACCCCAGGGUCAUUGGUUCCCUCAGCAGCCAGCUGGUUGCUGCAGUCAGGGGGUCUCUUCCUUAUCCCCCUCUUGCCUCCACAGCCACCUAGGUUACUUGGCUCUGGGCGGUUUCCCUACCUUCCCUCGUCACCUUCUUGCUCUGCCAGCGAGUCACUACAUCAAUGCGGAUGGGAUCUAGGAUGUUUCCCCACGCUGCUCGCUUAUGCUCCAGCUCUGUAAUAUCCCUCCCCACCAGCAUGGGGGCAGGAGCAUUUUCCAUUGCUUCUAUCUCCACUUCCAGUCCCUCCACCAGAUGGGGAGACGUGCUACCUGUACUUUGGAUGGCAUGACAUUAAAAAAAACAGUUAAAAUAAA
Molecule: long non-coding RNA, 1933 nt
Organism: Alligator mississippiensis (American alligator)
Lineage: Eukaryota; Metazoa; Chordata; Crocodylia; Alligatoridae
Exons: 3
Source: RefSeq, a predicted model, not a curated record